This 467-nucleotide ribosomal RNA is filed under the name uncultured bacterium. Its description in RNAcentral is "partial 16S ribosomal RNA". It matches the Rfam family "Bacterial small subunit ribosomal RNA", at positions 28 to 507 of the family's 1533-position model. The record is from RNAcentral.
GACGAACGCUGGCGGCGUGCUUAACACAUGCAAGUCGAACGGAAAGGCCCUGCUUUUGUGGGGUGCUCGAGUGGCGAACGGGUGAGUAACACGUGAGUAACCUGCCCUUGACUUUGGGAUAACUUCAGGAAACUGGGGCUAAUACCGGAUAGGAGCUCCUGCUGCAUGGUGGGGGUUGGAAAGUUUCGGCGGUUGGGGAUGGACUCGCGGCUUAUCAGCUUGUUGGUGGGGUAGUGGCUUACCAAGGCUUUGGCGGGUAGCCGGCCUGAGAGGGUGACCGGCACAUUGGGGAUGGAGAUAGGCCCCAGCUCCUUCGGGGGGCAAGAGGGGGGAAUAUUGGCAAAAGGGGCGAAGCCCUGUGCAAGAACCGCCGGGUGGGGAAUGCCGCCUUCGGGUUGGAAACCGCUUUCGCCUGUGACGAAGCGUGAGUGACGGUAAUGGGUAAAGAAGCACCGGCUAACUACGUG